This 379-nucleotide unclassified non-coding RNA is filed under the name uncultured Bacteriovoracaceae bacterium. RNAcentral describes it as "contains 16S-23S intergenic spacer region". Lineage: Bacteria; Pseudomonadati; Bdellovibrionota; Bacteriovoracia; Bacteriovoracales; Bacteriovoracaceae. The record is from RNAcentral.
UCCUGGUUAACCCAGGCAGUCUCAUUAGAGUGCCCAACUUAAUGCUGGCAACUAACAAUAGGGGUUGCGCUCGUUGCGAGACUUAACCCAACAUUUCACAACACGAGCUGACGACAGCCAUGCAGCGCCUAUCUCCGAAUUCCCCGAAGGGCACUCCUCCUUCUCGGGAGGAUUCUCGGGACUUUAAGCCCAGGUAAGGUUUUGCGCGUUGCUUCGAAUUAAACCACAUAAUCCACCGCUUGUGCGGGCCCCCGUCAAUUCCUUUGAGUUUUAGUCUUGCGACCGUACUCCCCAGGCGGAGCACUUAAUGCGUUAGCUAUACCACUGCAGGAGUCAACACCCACAAUAGUUAGUGCUCAUCGUUUACGGCGUGGACUAC